UACGUAGGGCGCAAGCGUUAUCCGGAAUUAUUGGGCGUAAAGAGCUCGUAGGCGGUUUGUCGCGUCUGCCGUGAAAGUCCGGGGCUCAACUCCGGAUCUGCGGUGGGUACGGGCAGACUAGAGUGAUGUAGGGGAGACUGGAAUUCCUGGUGUAGCGGUGGAAUGCGCAGAUAUCAGGAGGAACACCUGCGGCGAAGGCGGGUUGCUGGGCUGACACUGACGCUGACAGCGCGAAAGCUAGGGGAGCGAACGGG
RNAcentral lists this ribosomal RNA (254 nucleotides) under uncultured bacterium. RNAcentral's name for it is "partial 16S ribosomal RNA". It matches the Rfam family "Bacterial small subunit ribosomal RNA", at positions 524 to 776 of the family's 1533-position model. The record is from RNAcentral.